GAGGCCGCGCCCUAUGCACGUGGCCACACGCUUCCGCUUAAAGAGAGCGUCUCCGCGCCGGGGGGCGGAGAAGCGGGACCCUCACAGCUUUGUAAUUGGAAGGCCACCCUAAUCUGUUCUGAACUUGCAUGAAAAUGGAAGAAACACCUGAUAUUACGCCUCUCCACGCUUCAGUUUCUUCAGCAGUACUCCAAAGACGAUGAUCUGUAAGUGGAAAAAACUGAAAUCUCUACAGCCAGUGUAAGCCUGCCAACCUUUGCCUCCAUUGAGUGCCCAGGAGAAUCAAAUGGAUCUGAUCCAGGCUUACAGUCAUAUCUUGAUUCAUCAUCUCUUCUCUUUCAAGAAAUAGUUUCCUACUACUAUUUAAGCAAAUCUUUGCAGAUUCGUGCUGGGUUAUCUCGUGUGCCAAGAGGAUUCUUGAUGCUGUGCAGUAAAUUGCUAAGCUCUGUGGUAGCCUUGAAAACCAACAGCCUGCAAUCGCAGUGAAAACAAGAAGCCUGGAAACCACAGGAGGGAGCAGAAUGGGGCUGGAGUUGCUUCAAAGCCUUAUUUCCAGCAAAAUGUCAUUAUUUGACCUUUCUGGUGGUUCCCUUAAAGACUUGCAGGACUGUCUUUAUUUUACCUGACUCAGAGCUCACUCAGUGCAAAAAGUCUUUCCCAAGGAACAUUAAAAAAAAAAAUUUAGAUGGAAUUGUUUAACUUUGUGGCUACUGGAAACAUUAGAAAACAGUCGGGGCAAACAAUAGGCUAAGAAAAGCUAGGGAAUGAGAUGUCCAUAGGGAUUCUAAAAAACUCUGACAUAUUCCUGGGAAUCUAGAAGUCCAUGUACAUGCAUAGGGCUGUGCACAUGAUCAGGAAAAACAUAAGAAGGCCCUAAGUUCUGUCUUCUGGCUGACCUUCAGGCUCUGUGAAAAUAGGAAAUUAAAACUCGGGUAUAGUUGUCAGUUGCCUGGCUGAGCACUGAAGGAAUGCUCCAACAUGCUCACAGAGACCCUUGGCAAAAACUGGGAGACUUCCUGGUUCUGGCAUUUAAGGAAAUCUCUCUCCAAUCCUUAGCUGACCACUAAGCUAACUGAGUAGAGACUUUAGUGGUCACAUAUGUCAAGGAAUACAGACUUUAUACCUUUAGGAAAAGUCACUAAACAAACAACAAAAACAACAAGUAGCAACAAUAAACACUGAGGCUGGGGUGAAGAAUUUGACUUCCAGAGAUGCCAUUUUAUAUUAUUCAAAAUGUCCAGUUUUCAAGAAAAAAAUGACAAGACAUGCUGAGUAACAUUAAAGUAUGACCCCUAUACAUGGGAAAAAGCCAAGCAAUCAAUAGAAAUAGUCCCUGAGAAAGCCCAGAUGUUGAACUUAGUAGACAAAACUUUAGCUAUUUUAGGUAUGUUCAAAGAACUAAAGUAAACCAUGUCUACAGAACUAAAGGAAAGUAUGAAAAAGAUGUCUUACCAAAUAAAAAAUAGAAAUUAUAGAAAAGAACCAAGUAGAAGAAGUUUUGUAGUUGAAUAAUAACUGAAAUCAAAAUUUACUACAGAGGCUCAACUGUAGAUUUCAGUAGAUAGAAGAAAGAAUCAGUGAACCUGAAAACAGUUUAUUGAGAUUAUCCAGUCAGAGUCAUAUAAAGAAAAAUGAAGCAGAAAAUGAACAGGCUCAGAGAUGUACAGGACAUCAUAAAACAUACCAAUGCAUGAAUGAUGGGAGUCUCAGAAGAGAAGAAGAGAGAAAUAGGGGUAGAAAGAAUAUUUCAAAAAAUAAUGGCUGAAAAUGUGCCAAAUUUGAUGAAAAACAUUAAUCUCCACAUCCAAGAAGCUCAAUGAAUUCCCCUAGACACAUCAUAAUCAAACUGUUGAAAGCUAAAGACAAAGAGAGAAUCCUGAAUGCGAAGAGAAGAGUGAAUCCUGAAUGCAAAGAGAAGAGACUCAUCAUAUCCAAAGGAUGAGAUUUUUCAUCAAAAACCAUAAAGCCCUCUUGGGUGCUGACUGGAUCUAGUGGUAUAUAUCUAAAGUGACUUGACAGUCCUCCUGUUCUGGCACCGGUGAAGAAGGCUCACACCUCCUCUCCUGAUGCCUGAGAAGGCAAAUAUUCAACUUCACACAGUGAUUUGGAAAGAAUGUGACUGACAGAUUCUUCAACAUGUUUAGGGCUUAUCAGGUUUCACUGCAAUAUACCAUAUAGGUUAGUUCUACAUAUAGGUUAGUUUUCUUCCUGAAAACUGUAAUUUUAUUUUCAUUCCACAAGUAUCAGGGACAUAAUAAUGAAAAAAAUCAAAAAAGGUCCUUGUUUUCAUAGAGCUUAUAACCUAGUGACCAGUGAUACUAUUACCACAAAUUUAGUUAAACUUACAGUUUCACCUCUAAAGCCUUUUUCACCUCUGGGUCCCUGAAAGAAAAAAAAAAUGUUAGUUUAGUGUUGUUGAUAGUUAUUUAUCAAAUAUAAUUGAGGCUGUAUCCAGAAACAUGAUAAUUUCUGUUGGGUUUUUUCCUAUCUAGCAAGACCUGUUUAAAGUUAUAUAAAUUCUGAUUUUCCUAAGUUAAAGCAAAACAAAUACAAUCUACUGACUCACCAUGUCUGUUUUGCUAUGCCUAGUUCCACCUUAAAGUGAGGGUUAUGCUACUUAUUCAUUCAGUUAAGUCAAAACAGCUGAUCUGACAAUCAAAGGCAAAAUAAUUUAGAAAGAAAAUUAAGAAAGUUAAAUUCUUCUAAUAUUUGUUUCUCUCAGCCUUUGAAAAACCCUGCUUCCAGGGUGGUUUCCUCCUUCUCUUUUAUCUUCUUUUUUUAAAUUUCUCCUUCUGAGCUAUAUCCCAUAAAUUUUGAUACGUUGUGUAUACAGUUUCAGUCAAUUCAAAAUAUUUUCUAACUUUCUUUGAGACACUCUGGUCCUUGAAUUAUUUAGAAGUGUGAGGUUUAAUUUUCAAGUGUUUGGGGAUUUUCCUAUUAUCUUUCUAGUUUAUUGAUUCUUAGUUUAAUUCUGUUAUGGCCAGAGAAUAUACCUUACAUGACUUCUGUUAUUUUAAGUUUAGUAAAAUUUGUUUUAUGAUCUAAAAUAUGGUUUAUUUCAGUGAAUGUUUCAUGUGCACUUGAAGACAAUGUGAACUCUGCUGUUGCUGGAUGUCACUACUGUUAUUCCUGUUAAUAUUUUCAUGUUCCUUGUGGAAAUUGUGUAUUUAUUAAAAAAUGAGAUAACACUA
Molecule: long non-coding RNA, 3191 nt
Organism: Aethalodelphis obliquidens (Pacific white-sided dolphin)
Lineage: Eukaryota; Metazoa; Chordata; Mammalia; Artiodactyla; Delphinidae
Exons: 6
Source: RefSeq, a predicted model, not a curated record